AUACAGAGGGUGCGAGCGUUAAUCGGAAUUACUGGGCGUAAAACGCGCGUAGGCGGCUACUUAAGUCAGAUGUGAAAUCCCCGGGCUCAACCUGGGAACUGCAUCUGAUACUGGGUAGCUAGAGUUUUGGAGAGGGAAGUAGAAUUUCAGGUGUAGCGGUGAAAUGCAUAGAGAUCUGAAGGAAUACCAGUGGCGAAGGCGACUUCCUGGCCAAAAACUGACGCUGAGGUGCGAAAGCGUGGGUAGCAAACGGGAUUAGAAACCCUAGUAGUCC
Molecule: ribosomal RNA, 274 nt
Filed under: uncultured bacterium
Lineage: Bacteria
Description: partial 16S ribosomal RNA
Rfam family: Bacterial small subunit ribosomal RNA
Source: RNAcentral